This 1556-nucleotide long non-coding RNA is filed under the name Homo sapiens (human). RNAcentral describes it as "HSALNT0352437". The record is from RNAcentral. Lineage: Eukaryota; Metazoa; Chordata; Mammalia; Primates; Hominidae.
ACUUGGUUCAAGUGGCACCAGCCAAAUCCCUGCCUUACUGACCUCUCCCCUGGAGGAGCAGGAGCAGCGCUCAAGGCCGCCCUGGGAGGGCUGAGAGGCAGGCUCUGGACUGGGGACACAGGGAUAGCUGAGCCCCAGCUGGGGGUGGAAGCUGAGCCAGGGACAGUCACAGAGGAACAAGAUCAAGAUGCGCUUUAACUGAGAAGCCCCCAAGGCAGAGGCUGAGAAUCAGAAGACAUUUCAGCAGACAUCUACAAAUCUGAAGGACAAAACAUGGUUCAAGCAUCUGGGCACAGGCGGCUGGAUUGUACCAGUGUCCUUUACUGCAGUGACUGAACAUUCUAGGCACAGUAGAUUCAAGAAAUCUUGAGUUCAUUGGCUGCUCGGGCCACUGUAUCAGGUCCACCCGUGGCUCCAAAAUGGUCUCCUGGUCCGUGAUAGCAAAGAUCCAGGAAAUAUGAUGCGAGGAAGAUGAGAGGAAGAUGGCGCGAGAGUUCCUGGCCGAGUUCAUGAGCACAUAUGUCAUGAUGAGAGAGGGUGAUGACUGAUCUGGGGUUGGAGAAGAAAGCACAUGUUUGAGAGGGCUGUGGAAGAUGGAAUCGGGGAGACUCUGCCAGAAGAACAUGUGGGCAAAGCGCCGAUGAGCUGUUCUGGAGCACGGGGCCCAGCACAGGGUGAGAGGCAAGAUGCCUGUAGGGAAAUCCAGGAGAUAGUUAAACACAGGCAAGGGGCUGGAGCUCAGGAGAGGCUUGGUCUGGAAGGAAAAAGUUGAAGUUCAUCACAACACAGGUGGUGGUUGUCAACACUGUCUAGAAGGAGUGUACAGAAAGAGAAAAGGAUGGUUUGAGGACAGAGCCCUGAGGAAUGAAGAGGGGCACGCAAAGGAGCCUGAGAAGGAAUGGUCAGAGAGGUGGGAGGAGAACCAGAGCCGACUGCAUGACAGAGGGGGGCAGUGGUUCCACCAGGAAGAAGCCAUCAGCGGCAUGGGCAGCGGCAGAUGGGCCACGCAAGGUGAGCACUGGCAAGGGGCCUUAGGGUUUGCCAAUGUGGAGGUUGCUGGUAACCUUGACAAGGGCUCUUCUUUAGUGUGUGAUUGGGACAGAAUCCAGACUGCAGGUGGGAUGUGAGGUUGCUCCCUCUCCACCUGCUUCAGCCCUGCCACUUACCCCAGUGAGCCUCUGCCCUUAACAUGACUGUAGCCAUGUUUAUUGCAUCUUAUGCAGGGUCCAGGGUCUAGAGAAAGAAGGGGCAGCCUCUGGGAAGGGAGGCAAAGGCAGCCAGGUGCAUGCUAGAGGAAGGUGGGGUGACAGAGGCUGUUCGUGUGUGUGGUGGGGCCCAUGGAGCUCAAGGGAGAGAGGAAAUUGGAACACCAGGUUUCUUAGCCUGACCCUGCCACUGAGUGACCAGUUGCCUUGGGCAGGUCUCUCCCUGGCUUAAAGCCUGACUUCUCACUUAUAUCGUGUAGAAUUAGGCCUUCGUGGGCUUUGGAGCUGUGUUUGAAUCCUAGCUCUGUUAUCUUCUAGCUGUGCGACUAUCCACAAGUAUCUUAACUGUUC